GUAACGGCGAGUGAAGCGGUAACAGCUCAAAUUUGAAAUCUGGCUCCUCGGGGCCCGAAUUGUAAUUUGUAGAAGAUGCUUUGGGUCUGGGCCUGGCCUAAGUUCCUUGGAACAGGACGUCGUAGAGGGUGAGAAUCCCGUAUGCGGCUGGCGCCCGUGCCCGUGUAAAGCUCUUUCAACGAGUCGAGUUGUUUGGGAAUGCAGCUCUAAAUGGGUGGUAAAUUUCAUCUAAAGCUAAAUAUUGGCCAGAGACCGAUAGCGCACAAGUAGAGUGAUCGAAAGAUGAAAAGCACUUUGGAAAGAGAGUUAAACAGUACGUGAAAUUGUUGAAAGGGAAGCGCUGGCAACCAGACUUGGGCGCUGUUGAUCCGCUAGGGUUCUCUCUAGGGCACUCGGCAGUGCGCAGGCCAGCAUCGGUUUGGGGGGUUGGAGAAUGGCUGGUGGAAUGUGGCUGUCUUUGGGCAGUGUUAUAGCCACCGGUGGCAUGCAGCCUCCCCGGACCGAGGACCGCGCUUCGGCUAGGAUGCUGGCGUAAUGGUUGUCAGCGACCCGUCUUGAAACACGGACCAAGGAGUCUAACAUCUAUGCGAGUGUUUGGGUGUUAAACCCAUACGCGGAAUGAAAGUGAACGUAGGUGAGAACCCGCAAGGGUGCAUCAUCGACCGAUCCUGAUGUCUUCGGAUGGAUUUGAGUAAGAGCAUAGCUGUUGGGACCCGAAAGAUGGUGAACUAUGCCUGAAUAGGGUGA
This 747-nucleotide ribosomal RNA is filed under the name Podosphaera xanthii. RNAcentral's name for it is "eukaryotic LSU rRNA". It matches the Rfam family "Eukaryotic large subunit ribosomal RNA", at positions 83 to 849 of the family's 3401-position model. Lineage: Eukaryota; Fungi; Ascomycota; Leotiomycetes; Helotiales; Erysiphaceae. The record is from RNAcentral.